This 229-nucleotide long non-coding RNA is filed under the name Elaeis guineensis (African oil palm). Its description in RNAcentral is "long non-coding RNA (EGUI_LNC067299)". The record is from RNAcentral. Lineage: Eukaryota; Viridiplantae; Streptophyta; Magnoliopsida; Arecales; Arecaceae.
AGGAACACACCUGUCAUUGAAGCCGACCCAACCAUCCCACAUCUGAAAGUUGAACCACAUCGCCGUCUGUCGGGCUUUCCUGCCUUCUUGGACCGCCCGUUGCCAUUCCCAAUACCACCUAUAAGACCCUCAAACAUCACCCUAGAAAUUUUCUAAGAGAAAUUCUUUGGGAUGAGAAAAUCGUCCACUAACUUGAGGAUCAAAAUUAUUAGUCAUACAUGUCAGACGC